RNAcentral lists this transfer RNA (87 nucleotides) under Opitutia bacterium TMED67. RNAcentral describes it as "Opitutae bacterium TMED67 tRNA-Leu". It matches the Rfam family "tRNA". Rfam says of the family: Transfer RNA (tRNA) molecules are approximately 80 nucleotides in length. Lineage: Bacteria; Pseudomonadati; Verrucomicrobiota; Opitutia. RNAcentral also lists the same sequence under 4 other names. The record is from RNAcentral.
GCACUCGUGGUGGAAUUGGUAGACACGCAACCUUGAGGUGGUUGUGCCCCUAAAGGCGUGAAGGUUCGAGUCCUUUCGAGUGCACCA